RNAcentral lists this ribosomal RNA (253 nucleotides) under uncultured bacterium. RNAcentral describes it as "partial 16S ribosomal RNA". It matches the Rfam family "Bacterial small subunit ribosomal RNA", at positions 524 to 776 of the family's 1533-position model. The record is from RNAcentral.
CACGUAGGGGGCAAGCGUUGCCCGGAAUUAUUGGGCGUAAAGAGCUCGUAGGCGGCUCGGUAAGUCAGGUGUCAAAUCCUCAGGCUCAACCUGGGGCUCCACCUGAUACUGCUGUGGCUAGAGUCCGGUAGGGGAGCGUGGAAUUCCUGGUGUAGCGGUGAAAUGCGCAGAUAUCAGGAGGAACACCAGCGGCGAAGGCGGCCAGCUGGGCCGUCCCUGACGCUGAGGCGCGAAGGCGUGGGGAGCGAACGGG